UACGUAGGGGGCAAGCGUUAUCCGGAUUCACUGGGUGUAAAGGGAGCGUAGACGGCGACGCAAGUCUGGAGUGAAAGCCCGGGGCCCAACCCCGGGACUGCUCUGGAAACUGCGUCGCUAGAGUACGGGAGGGGCAGGCGGAACUCCUGGUGUAGCGGUGAAAUGCGUAGAUAUCAGGAGGAACACCGGCGGCGAAGGCGGCCUGCUGGACCGUGACUGACGUUGAGGCUCGAGAGCGUGGGGAGCAAACAGG
Molecule: ribosomal RNA, 253 nt
Filed under: uncultured bacterium
Lineage: Bacteria
Description: partial 16S ribosomal RNA
Rfam family: Bacterial small subunit ribosomal RNA
Source: RNAcentral